This 160-nucleotide unclassified non-coding RNA is filed under the name rhizosphere metagenome. RNAcentral describes it as "partial ribosomal RNA internal transcribed spacer region". The record is from RNAcentral.
GUGUUAGCUGCCCUAACGGGUAGCAAACCUCACCCUUGUGUAUUAUAUCUUUGUGGCUUUGGCACGCUCACGUGUGCCGAAAGACCUUAAAUUCUGAAUGUUAGUGUCGUCUGAGUACUAUCUAAUAGUUAAAACUUUCAACAACGGAUCUCUUGGUUCU